AUACGUAGGGGGCGAGCGUUGUCCGGAAUUAUUGGGCGUAAAGAGUACGUAGGCGGUUCUGUAAGCGUGAGGUGAAAGCCCGGGGCUUAACCCCGGUAAGCCUUUCGAACUGCAGGACUUGAGUGCUGGAGGGGAAAGUGGAAUUCCUAGUGUAGCGGUGAAAUGCGUAGAUAUUAGGAGGAACACCAGUGGCGAAGGUGACUUUCUGGACAGUAACUGACGCUGAGGUACGAAAGCGUGGGGAGCAAACAGGAUUAGAUACCCUGGUAGUCCACGCUGUAAACGAUGAGCACUAGGUGUCGGGCUAGCAAUAGUUCGGUGCCGCAGUUAACGCAAUAAGUGCUCCGCCUGGGGAGUACGCACGCAAGUGUGAAACUCAAAUGAAUUGACGGGG
Molecule: ribosomal RNA, 394 nt
Filed under: uncultured bacterium
Lineage: Bacteria
Description: partial 16S ribosomal RNA
Rfam family: Bacterial small subunit ribosomal RNA
Source: RNAcentral